CUCAGCAAAUGCUGAAAUUUCUCGCUGGGGCCUCCAAAUGUUACGGUGCCCGCGAGUUAAAGUACGAGACAGCCAAACAGAAUUUAAAGAGCCUUUUAUUAG
This 102-nucleotide microRNA precursor is filed under the name Choloepus hoffmanni (Hoffmann's two-fingered sloth). Its description in RNAcentral is "miRNA (ENSCHOG00000014450.1)". The record is from RNAcentral. Lineage: Eukaryota; Metazoa; Chordata; Mammalia; Pilosa; Megalonychidae.